Molecule: non-coding RNA, 98 nt
Organism: Acanthosepion pharaonis
Lineage: Eukaryota; Metazoa; Mollusca; Cephalopoda; Sepiida; Sepiidae
Source: the annotation of a GenBank genome assembly
UUCAAACACCGGUUCCCAUACGAUUACCGAAGUUAAGUAACACCGACGCUGGUCAGUGCCUAGAUGGGUGACCGCUUGGGAAUACCAAGUGUUGUAAG